CCUACGGGUGGCAGCAGUGGGGAAUAUUGGACAAUGGGGGCAACCCUGAUCCAGCCAUGCCGCGUGUGUGAAGAAGGCCCUCGGGUUGUAAAGCACUUUCAGUGAAGAAGAACGCCUGGUGGUUAAUACCCAUCAGGAAAGACAUCACUCACAGAAGAAGCACCGGCUAACUCCGUGCCAGCAGCCGCGGUAAUACGGAGGGUGCGAGCGUUAAUCGGAAUUACUGGGCGUAAAGCGCGCGUAGGUGGCUUGAUAAGCCGGUUGUGAAAGCCCCGGGCUCAACCUGGGAACGGCAUCCGGAACUGUCAAGCUAGAGUGCAGGAGAGGAAGGUAGAAUUCCCGGUGUAGCGGUGAAAUGCGUAGAGAUCGGGAGGAAUACCAGUGGCGAAGGCGGCCUUCUGGACUGACACUGACACUGAGGUGCGAAAGCGUGGGUAGCAAACAGGAUUAGAUACCCCUGUAGUC
RNAcentral lists this ribosomal RNA (465 nucleotides) under Vreelandella stevensii. RNAcentral describes it as "partial 16S ribosomal RNA". It matches the Rfam family "Bacterial small subunit ribosomal RNA", at positions 338 to 795 of the family's 1533-position model. The record is from RNAcentral. Lineage: Bacteria; Pseudomonadati; Pseudomonadota; Gammaproteobacteria; Oceanospirillales; Halomonadaceae.